Long non-coding RNA from Oreochromis niloticus (Nile tilapia), 888 nucleotides. RefSeq lists it as uncharacterized. The record is from RefSeq and is a predicted model, not a curated record. The transcript is spliced from 2 exons. Lineage: Eukaryota; Metazoa; Chordata; Actinopteri; Cichliformes; Cichlidae.
UGAUAUUACUUUUUUUCAGCUUAACAAACGAGUGAGGAGAACCAGGGCAGUGAAAUGGCUCAGGUUUAGAAGAACUGCGAGAGACCCGGCAGCUGGCAGCAAGUGUGUGGUGGCUGGAUGGGGAGUAACCGAAAACAACCGAACAUCAGACGUCCUCAAGGCUGUUACCGUGACUGUGGUCAGCAGAAAGAAGUGCAACUCUCGCAGCUAUUACAACCGCAACCCUGUUAUCACCACAGGCAUGAUAUGUGCUGGUUCAAAUGGUAGAAAAAGGGCUGAUACCUGUCAAGGGGAUUCAGGAGGGCCGCUGUUGUGUAAAGGAGCGCUGGUUGGAGUCACUUCUUUUGGACGGGGUUGUGGUAUCAUUAGAAAACCUGGAGUCUACUCGUUUGUCUCAAGGAAACAACUCAACUGGAUCAGAAAAACAAUGAAAUCAAAUUAAAUGUCCUGAAUACCCAGGUCUUAGUCCAGAUGAGCUAAGCAAGAUGAGAAUCUUUGAUACUUUUAUGUUAAAUCUGCUUAUGCUGUCAUUUUAUCAUUUCAUCAUUUCUCUCAUAUUUUAUGAAGUUUUAGUUUCCGCUAUCUGUGACAGUUUGCCUCUCAUGGUUACGCUUUUCCACUGCAGGAACUUAAAAUGAGAACAAUGUUGCAAUAUUGAUAAGACGGUAACACCUUAUAUGACCUAAGUAAGUAAUUUAUUUAUAUAGCACUUAUAUAGAUAAAAAUCACAGAGUGCUUCACAAUAAAACCAGAAAUAAAAGAAUAAUAAUAUGGAAGAAUGUAAAAAGACCUGCGAAUAAGGCAUAAGUACUCUGUAAUUACAUGUAAUUUGCAGGCAACAAGUCAAGUUUUUGCAAGAAACAAUGAAUUACAAAUUACACCAUAAGA